UCCCCUGGGAGGUCAGUGCAGGGUUCCUCCAUUUUGACAUGAGUAAAUUCUAGAUUAGGUAUUUGGCAGUUAACUCAUCUGGAUAUAUGGGAACAGAAGUGCCAGACACGUAGAUAAUAUUUGGAGAACAGGAGCAGACUUGGAACAUGCUGAAUAGAGGACAAGGAAGUAUCAUCAGACAAACUUAAAGAUGAUCUGACAAUGUCAUUUUCCAAGGGACUGAUAGAAAGAUUGAGUAUCAUGGAAUCAGAACAGACAACAGAGAAUCAGAUUUGGACUGAAUCAGAAUAAACAGGCAAUGCAGACACUUGUUCUCUGAAUCACAAUCAAGACUCAGUGCUGGAACAGAUUUGAGGAAUGUAUACAAUUCUUAUCUAAACUGAUGUCUGAUAUUUAACCAGGGGAGAGAAGAGACACCAGAUACUUGCAGACACAGAAGAAAUACCAUGUGCAAACAUACCCAGAAGACCACCAUCUGCAAGAGAAGGAGAGAGACCUCAGAAUACACCAAUGCUGCUGAAACCUUCAUCUUGGACUUCCAGCCUCCAGACUUUGAGAAAAUAAAUUUCUG
RNAcentral lists this long non-coding RNA (571 nucleotides) under Homo sapiens (human). RNAcentral describes it as "HSALNT0312862". The record is from RNAcentral. Lineage: Eukaryota; Metazoa; Chordata; Mammalia; Primates; Hominidae.